CGKGCGGSAGCUACACAUGCAGUCGAACGAUGAUCCCGGUGCUUGCACCGGGUGAUUAGUGGCGAACGGGUGAGUAACACGUGAGUAACCUGCCCCCGACUCUGGGAUAAGCCCGGGAAACUGGGUCUAAUACCGGAUAUUCACUUCCUUCCGCAUGGGAGGUGGUGGAAAGAUUUAUCGGUGGGGGAUGGACUCGCGGCCUAUCAGCUUGUUGGUGGGGUAAUGGCCCACCAAGGCGACGACGGGUAGCCGGCCUGAGAGGGUGACCGGCCACACUGGGACUGAGACACGGCCCAGACUCCUACGGGAGGCAGCAGUGGGGAAUAUUGCACAAUGGGCGAAAGCCUGAUGCAGCGACGCCGCGUGAGGGAUGACGGCCUUCGGGUUGUAAACCUCUUUCAGUAGGGAAGAAGCGAAAGUGACGGUACCUGCAGAAGAAGCGCCGGCUAACUACGUGCCAGCAGCCGCGGUAAUACGUAGGGCGCAAGCGUUAUCCGGAAUUAUUGGGCGUAAAGAGCUCGUAGGCGGUUUGUCGCGUCUGCCGUGAAAGUCCGGGGCUCAACCCCGGAUCUGCGGUGGGUACGGGCAGACUAGAGUGAUGUAGGGGAGACUGGAAUUCCUGGUGUAGCGGUGAAAUGCGCAGAUAUCAGGAGGAACACCGAUGGCGAAGGCAGGUCUCUGGGCAUUAACUGACGCUGAGGAGCGAAAGCAUGGGGAGCGAACAGGAUUAGAUACCCUGGUAGUCCAUGCCGUAAACGUUGGGCACUAGAUGUGGGGGACAUUCCACGUUUUCCGCGUCGUAGCUAACGCAUUAAGUGCCCCGCCUGGGGAGUACGGCCGCAAGGCUAAAACUCAAAGGAAUUGACGGGGGCCCGCACAAGCGGCGGAGCAUGCGGAUUAAUUCGAUGCAACGCGAAGAACCUUACCAAGGCUUGACAUGGGCCGGAUCGCCGCAGAAAUGUGGUUUCCCCUUUGGGGCCCGGUUCACAGGUGGUGCAUGGGUUGUCGUCAGCUCGUGUCGUGAGAUGUUGGGUUAAGUCCCGCAACGAGCGCACCCUCGUUCAUGUUGCCAGCACGUAGUGGUGGGGACUCAUGGGAGACUGCCGGGUCACUCGAAGGAGUGGGACGACGUCAUCAUCAUGCCCCUAUGUUCUUGGGCCUUCAMGGCCAAUKG
This 1174-nucleotide ribosomal RNA is filed under the name Arthrobacter rhombi. RNAcentral describes it as "bacterial SSU rRNA". It matches the Rfam family "Bacterial small subunit ribosomal RNA", at positions 36 to 1233 of the family's 1533-position model. The record is from RNAcentral. Lineage: Bacteria; Bacillati; Actinomycetota; Actinomycetes; Micrococcales; Micrococcaceae.